AUUGAACGCUGGCGGCAGGCCUAACACAUGCAAGUAGAACGAGUGGCGGACGGGUGAGUAAUGUCUGGGAAACUGCCUGAUGGAGGGGGAUAACUACUGGAAACGGUAUCUAAUACCGCAUACCAUCGGAUGUGCCCAGAUGGCAUUAGCUAGGAGGUGGGGUAAAGGCUCACCUAGGCGACGAUCACUAGCUGGUCUGAGAGGAUGACCAGCCACACUGGAACUGAGCCACGGUCCAGACUCCUACGGGAGGCAGCAGUGGGGAAUAUUGCACAAUGGGCGCAAGCCUGAUGCAGCCAUGCCGAGUGUAUUAAGAAGGCCUUCGGGUUGUAAAGUACUUUCAGCGGGGAGGCGUUUUCCGCAGAAGAAGCACCGGCUAACUCCGUGCCAGCCGCCGCGGUAAUAC
RNAcentral lists this ribosomal RNA (406 nucleotides) under uncultured bacterium. RNAcentral describes it as "partial 16S ribosomal RNA". It matches the Rfam family "Bacterial small subunit ribosomal RNA", at positions 30 to 526 of the family's 1533-position model. The record is from RNAcentral.